Pan troglodytes (chimpanzee) is the source of this 2523-nucleotide long non-coding RNA. RefSeq lists it as uncharacterized. The transcript has 2 exons. The record is from RefSeq and is a predicted model, not a curated record. NCBI's taxonomy places the organism in Eukaryota, Metazoa, Chordata, Mammalia, Primates, Hominidae.
CCUUGGUUUCCUGCAUUUGCCCGAUAUCUGUGGUGUAAAUACUUUCCCCAUGGUGGCUUUCAAGCUACCAAGGAUUCACAACCGGCUCACAGAAUUCCUGAAAAUUUAACAAUCCACUCUCAUGCGCCUGCUGCAGCCAUUUCCAGCCCACCUCUGUAGCUCUCUAAAAAGCAGGGCCUCGUGGAUGAGACUAGAGAGGGGAGAUGUAGCUGGCUCUGUUUAAUUCUGUGAGGUCAAACCACACCUGGGAGGGUGUGUCUGGUUUCAAAGCCUACAUUGUAAGAGGAACAUAGGCACACUGAAAAUUGUUUGAUUUGGGCAAGAAGCAAUUUCGUCUGAAAAACCCACCGGGAGACCUAUUGCUGGAAUGAGAAUCCAGGGGAAGAAAAACACAGGGUAUCCUGGCCAUUGUUUCCAAAUCUCUGUGGGGCUGUAAGGGCCCUGAGUGCACCUGAGAAUGCUGAAAAGAAAAGCCAAGUUCACGGACAAAAAAAGAAUCACCCAAGCUGCUUUCACCUGCCUGUGAUUUCCCAAGAAGCCAGUUUGUCUUUAAGAAGUGAGACCCAUUUGAGAAUGAGUAAUGUCUUAGGCUCUUUAGUCUAAUGCUUAGAGAAUUCCACUUUCUUCUUUCGCUCGGCCUCCCCCUGAGCUCCCCUUUCUCUGUCCCCAACUCCAUUUUAUUUAAUCUUUCUAAAUGGAUAUUGUAGCCUCAGGGACUAAAAGAAUGACACAUGGAUAAACAGGAACUAAGCUCCUAAGCUUUUCACCUACCUGCCAUCUUCCUCACCACGCAUGGGGAUUAGAAGCGUCACAAAGAAAGCAGUCUCGGAAGUUUGUCAAAUAGAGAUUUCUGGGUGAUGGUUUGGGAAAGGAUGAUUUAGAUCGUGCCUCUCCUGGGUGAGGAAAGUGACUGAAACUCAUAACAGCAGAGAACUUGAAGUGCUGGUUUGAGCUUCAGGAGAUGUGAGUUCUAGCCCCAGUGCUGCCUGUGAUUUUCUCUGUGACCUGGGACAAGUCCCUUGUGGAUACGACAGGAUGUGCGGGCUACAAGGAUCUCUGAGACUUCUCCCAGGUAGGCAAAGUGGAGUGUCAGACUAAGCUGGGCUCAAAAGUUUGUCCUGACACUAGUUAACAGCAAAGUCUUCAAAUCACAGGCAACUCUUAAGAGUUGCACUUGCUUCGCUGUAAAAAACGGGAGAAUUAAUGAAUCACUGUGAAGACUAAAUGAGAUAAUGGAUGGGGCACACCUCACUGGGUGUGUGAUACUUGGUAGGUGUCUUUUUAAAGCAUAAUUCCUAUAAAAACCAAAACUAUGGUUUAAAAAAAGGCUCGGAGGUAAAAAUUAGAAGGAAAGGAAAGUAAAAGAAUAUUAACAGUCAACACCAGUGUAAGCCAUUCACAAGACACAAAGUCCCUUUCACAUAUAUGAUCUUAGGUAAUCUGGGCAACAACCUUGAAGAAGAGAAAAGCACCACAUGUAUUGAUCUCUUUGAGUGGGCCAUUCACUGUCCUAGUUUUUCACAAUCAUCUUGGUGGGUUAUUUUCCUAUUUUGAAGGCCAGGGUCCAAGAUUACCCAACUGGUGAGUGUUGGAGCCAGCUCGGGUGAUUUUGGUUUGAAACCUCUAAAUCCCAUGACACAGAAGUGGCAGGAUCAAUGUGGAAAGCAAGGCAGCAAAAUGAUGAGGUGCUAAAAACUAAUGACCUAGAUGAAGGAAAGAAAUAUUUACACAACAUCAUAUGCUUCUUUCACAGUUGUCAUGCAACAUCAUAGUACUUUGCUGAUUCAGUCAUUUCACAGAGUAAUUAGCGUCUGUCUCUGAAAAAUAAAAUACUGCAAUUGGCUGCCGUCUCUAGGACUUUGUGACUUCCUUUGGACAGGUGGUUGCAAAAAGCCUACACCUUUAAAAGUGCCCCCUGAAAGUUAAUGAAUCACUGUGAAGACUAAAUGAGAUAAUGGAUGCGACACAACUCUCUGGGUACCCAGAAUGGAGGAGAUAGUAGGCCAUGGCAGAUGGUAGGGGAGAAGCUGGCUUCAGACAAUCUACAGAAACCCAGUUUCCUGAUUUUUCUGUGCAAGGAAUAGCACAGGCAUCUGAUAAUUCCACUAUUCUCUCUGGCUGGUGGCCUUCUCUUUGAAAGACUGCAUGGUUUCAGUUCAGUUUCAUAUAGAUCUGUGUGUAGAUCUGUACAGUGAUAACAUUCCUUUGUGCUAAGUCAGUCCAAGAUAACUAACCUGUUUCCAAGAUCUAAUUUUGUAUGUGGGAAUCUUGCCUUGCCCUGAUUUCCAGACCCAUAGGCAGGCUUGCAGGCUGUAGCUGGGGAAGACCCCAUGCUUAUUCUGGUGCCCUGAGCAAGGCCUCCUGCUCUACUAUUAGGCAGAAGCACCUGUUCUGCCACAGGAGGCGCUGUCUUUUGCUGGCAGAGCUCAGUUUCCCUUAAGGGGAAGUUCCUUAGGAUUUAAGGCCUCAUGACUAUCUCAAAACCCAUGUUUGUUUGCCAAUAAAGAAAAUAAAUAAAGUGUA